This 345-nucleotide long non-coding RNA is filed under the name Brassica rapa (field mustard). Its description in RNAcentral is "long non-coding RNA (BRAP_LNC002550)". Lineage: Eukaryota; Viridiplantae; Streptophyta; Magnoliopsida; Brassicales; Brassicaceae. The record is from RNAcentral.
CGUCUUAAUGCCCAUCAAUCUUGUAGCAGAUGAUAAAGCUGAAUGACCAUCUCCGCAACCUUCGUACAAUGGUUGCUUUCCAGCAUCCAACAUAUCAUAAAAUCUCCUAGCUUCGGCAUUCGGUAAAUCUUCCCCUCUAAAAUGAUCAUUUACCAUCUGCUCAGUACCUACACCGUAAUCUACAUCCGUUCUAAUUGGAUCUUCUAAUCUAACUGCUGGCUGAGGUUCGCUAGUACUACCAUGUUCAUAAUCAGUUUCCCCAUGAUGAUACCAAAUUUUGUAACUUCGUGUAAACCCACUCAAAUAUAGAUGAGUCCAAACAUCCCACUGUUUAAUAACUUUUUU